Molecule: unclassified non-coding RNA, 19 nt
Filed under: Chlamydomonas reinhardtii
Lineage: Eukaryota; Viridiplantae; Chlorophyta; Chlorophyceae; Chlamydomonadales; Chlamydomonadaceae
Description: small RNA Cre_1834
Source: RNAcentral
GGAUUGGGGUGGGGGUGGA